AUUAGGAGAUUAAAAUUGAUCAGCAAAUGGUGUAUUUGCAUUUAAUAUUUAACUUAAAUUCUGAAAAAUUCCCCAGAGCUUUUUAUAAUUGGAUUUAAUCAUCAUUUGAUUUGUGUUUGUUAAUUCCCUCUUUAUAUUUUCAUUAAUCGACUGUUAGAAAUUAAAAAUAAUCAAAAUUAUUGGUUCGUGUUCACUUUAAGAAUUAAUUUAGGAAGUCAAUAGUAAUUGUUA
RNAcentral lists this long non-coding RNA (231 nucleotides) under Linum usitatissimum (flax). RNAcentral describes it as "long non-coding RNA (LUSI_LNC003649)". Lineage: Eukaryota; Viridiplantae; Streptophyta; Magnoliopsida; Malpighiales; Linaceae. The record is from RNAcentral.